This 313-nucleotide ribosomal RNA is filed under the name Clostridioides difficile. Its description in RNAcentral is "bacterial SSU rRNA". It matches the Rfam family "Bacterial small subunit ribosomal RNA", at positions 1 to 322 of the family's 1533-position model. Lineage: Bacteria; Bacillati; Bacillota; Clostridia; Peptostreptococcales; Peptostreptococcaceae. The record is from RNAcentral.
UUUAUUUGAGAGUUUGAUCCUGGCUCAGGAUGAACGCUGGCGGCGUGCCUAACACAUGCAAGUUGAGCGAUUUACUUCGGUAAAGAGCGGCGGACGGGUGAGUAACGCGUGGGUAACCUACCCUGUACACACGGAUAACAUACCGAAAGGUAUGCUAAUACGGGAUAAUAUAUUUGAGAGGCAUCUCUUGAAUAUCAAAGGUGAGCCAGUACAGGAUGGACCCGCGUCUGAUUAGCUAGUUGGUAAGGUAACGGCUUACCAAGGCGACGAUCAGUAGCCGACCUGAGAGGGUGAUCGGCCACAUUGGAACUGA